Molecule: long non-coding RNA, 240 nt
Organism: Arabidopsis thaliana (thale cress)
Lineage: Eukaryota; Viridiplantae; Streptophyta; Magnoliopsida; Brassicales; Brassicaceae
Product: other RNA
Exons: 1
Source: RefSeq
UAAUCUGGCCCGGUUUGGUUGCCUACCUGAUCGACAAAUCGAAGCACGGAAACAUAUGUUGUAAUAGUAAUUUUCUUGCCGAUAUGAUGAUAACAUGACUAUAGAUUAAGGAAAUAAAAGGACUAUAUUCAUAAACAUAUAUUGAUUAACAUUUUACACAAUUCCUAUAUACGAGUUUAUAUGUGUCAAGUUGACGUAAACUUGCGUGUUUACAAAGCCUCUCCCUUUAUGCAAUUUCUU